RNAcentral lists this non-coding RNA (21 nucleotides) under Caenorhabditis elegans. The record is from RNAcentral. Lineage: Eukaryota; Metazoa; Nematoda; Chromadorea; Rhabditida; Rhabditidae.
UUUUGAGAAAUUGUAAAAAGU